RNAcentral lists this unclassified non-coding RNA (1251 nucleotides) under Stegodyphus dumicola. Its description in RNAcentral is "cyclin-dependent kinase 14-like, transcript variant X5". Lineage: Eukaryota; Metazoa; Arthropoda; Arachnida; Araneae; Eresidae. The record is from RNAcentral.
CUUUGGAGAGCGCAGGCUCCGUAUGGCGGCGCUCUAAUCGUCUUCUCUGUCGUUCAUCAGCGGCAUUGCGAGUAAACGAUGUAGGGAGAGGCUGCCGCUGAAAACACGAUGGCUGUCGACGCCAACAGAUACGCCAAAGAAGAUGUGACGUCGAAAGAAAAGAAAUCCUCUCGUAUACAGAAAUUACGAAAACAUCUCAGCUGCGGUUUCGGACGCCUCUCCAUUUCAAAAGAAGAAAUCAUCCCAGAAUUUGGCCAAGACAAUGAGAACUUGGAAGCGAUGAUAGUGAAUGGGGUGACUACAAGUCACUCAGAUGUCCUAUCUUCAGCUUGCGUAGAGCCAGUCGAUAAUAUCCGAUCCCUUUUGGAGCCAAAUGGAAAUGUCCUGCCACCCUCGGCCUCCUUCAUUCGACCUCUGCCCCGAACGAGUUCUAGUCACAGCCAUCUCGACAAGUACCUCAAAAAGUUCGGGAAGUCUGUAGGAGGUCUUCGAUCACCUGUGAAGCGCCAAUGGUCAGCUGGCGAAUCUCACCUCAACCGCGAAUUCUCAAGAAUAAGCGACUUGGAUGUCCGUCCCCGACUUCCACCCAGGCCAAAGUCCGAAUUUUUCAACGUUGGAGAUCCUAACAAAUAUGCCAAGAACGCCACCUAUGAGCCUUCCCUCGGCUUUGGUCGCUCUGAAUCUUACAUAAAAUUGGAGCAGCUGGGUGAAGGGUCUUAUGCUACUGUCUAUAAAGGGUUUAGCGAAUUAAACAACAAGGUUGUUGCUCUUAAGGAGAUACGGCUGCAACCCGAAGAAGGAGCUCCAUUCACGGCCAUCCGAGAAGCCUCCUUACUUCGUGGUCUAAAACAUGCCAACAUUGUUACCCUUCACGAUAUCAUCCACACAAGGGAAACACUCACUUUCGUCUUUGAAUAUGUUUUCCCCACUUUCCUGCCAGAAUAUGAAUUUCUAGCUCAUGUGCAUUCAGAUGAGGUAGAAGGAGAUAGUAUUUAAAGGAAGGUUUUAGAGGAUAGAAUCAGAGUGUGUUUCACCUGCUGAAGACCACGUUUCUAAUUUGACUCUCUUGAAAGCUGUAUUCUGUAGUACUGAAUUAUUCUCGCCGACUUUAGAUCUGAGCCAACUGCAUACAGACCUUAGCCAGUACUUAGAAAGACACCCUGGAGGUCUACAUCCUAAAAAUAUAAAACUUUUCUUAUUCCAACUCUUACGUGGUCUUGCCUACUGUCACCAGAGAAGGGUUUUGCAUAG